AUAAAGUAUCUGCAUGGAACCUUUAUUAAAGCUUAGGUGGCAAGAGAUGAGCCUGCGUCUGAUUAGGUUAGUUGGUGAGGUAAUGGCUCUACCAAGACUAUGAUCAGUAGGGGACCUAAGAGGGAAACCCUCCACACUGGAACUGAGACAAGGACCAGACUUCUACGGAAGGCAGCAGUGAGGAAUAUUGGUCAAUGGAGGAAACUCUGAACCAGCUAUGCCGCGUGUAGGAUGACAGUCUUUUAGAUUGUAAACUACUUUUACAUAGAAAUAAAAGUUACUACGGGAUGGUAACCUGAAGGUACUAUGCGAAUAAGUGUCGGCUAAUUUCGUGCCAGCAGCCGCGGUAAAACGAAAGACACAAGCGUUAUCCGGAUUUAUUGGGUUUAAAGGGUGUGUAGGUUGUUUAUUAAGUCAGUAGUGAAAGCUUACAGCUUAACUGUAAAAUUGCUAUUGAUACUGAUAAUCUUGAGUCAGAUUGGAGCGUCUGGAAUGUAUGGUGUAGCGGUGAAAUGCAUAGAUAUCAUACAGAACACCAAUAGCGAAGGCAGGAUGCUAAAUCUUCACUGACGCUGAGGCACGAAAGCGUGGGUAGCAAACAGGAUUAGAUACCCUGGUAGUCCACGCCCUAAACUAUGAUCACUAGCUAUUGGAAAAAUUAUAUUCAGUGGCCAAGCUAAAGCGAUAAGUGAUCCACCUGGGAAGUACGAUCGCAAGAUUGAAACUCAAAGGAAUUGACGGGGUUUCGCACAAGCGGUGGAGCAUGUG
Molecule: ribosomal RNA, 768 nt
Filed under: Candidatus Uzinura diaspidicola
Lineage: Bacteria; Pseudomonadati; Bacteroidota; Flavobacteriia; Flavobacteriales
Description: bacterial SSU rRNA
Rfam family: Bacterial small subunit ribosomal RNA
Source: RNAcentral